UGACGGUACCUGACUAAGAAGCACCGGCUAAAUACGUGCCAGCAGCCGCGGUAAUACGUAUGGUGCAAGCGUUAUCCGGAUUUACUGGGUGUAAAGGGCGUGUAGGCGGGACAUCAAGUCAGAUGUGAAAGGCAUGGGCUCAACCCGUGGACUGCAUUGGAAACUGUAUUUCUUGAGUGCCGGAGGGGUAAGCGGAAUUCCUGGUGUAGCGGUGAAAUGCGUAGAUAUCAGGAGGAACACCGGUGGCGAAGGCGGCUUACUGGACGGCAACUGACGUUGAGGCUCGAAGGCGUGGGGAGCAAACAGGAUUAGAUACCCUG
This 320-nucleotide ribosomal RNA is filed under the name uncultured bacterium. RNAcentral describes it as "bacterial SSU rRNA". It matches the Rfam family "Bacterial small subunit ribosomal RNA", at positions 470 to 789 of the family's 1533-position model. The record is from RNAcentral.